Long non-coding RNA from Hypanus sabinus (Atlantic stingray), 4405 nucleotides. RefSeq lists it as uncharacterized. The record is from RefSeq and is a predicted model, not a curated record. The transcript is spliced from 9 exons. Lineage: Eukaryota; Metazoa; Chordata; Chondrichthyes; Myliobatiformes; Dasyatidae.
UCGUUCUGUAUUGAACCGGGGCGGCGGCGGCAGCGGCAGCGGAUCGACUGCGGGGUCGCGAUUGCGAGACAGCCCUUGCCCCUCCCCCGGGGCAGGGAGCCGGGGGACGAAUGACUCUUCAGAACUGGUCAUCAAUUUCCAAUCGUUUGACCUGCAGUGAGAGAUUUAUUGGAAGUAAAACGCACAACUGGAAGCAAACCACGACUGAAGAUGAGGGAACGGCAACAAGUGAACCAGCCUGAGGACUGAGAGCACCAACUGAAGAAAACACUACUGACCCAGAGUUUCCAUUCAUUCAGUCAGGAGAAAGUUUGAAUCUUAAGGAAGUAGUGGCACUGUUGUACGUUCUUUGCAAUUACAUGCACACACUGGGAUCAGGACAAGUCGUAUGAAAGGUUGUGUGAAGAACCAGGAGAUGGAAUCUACUGCAGACCUGUUGUUCUGGUGGGAAACUGGAGCAGAUCCUGGUCACCUCUAAGGCAGGAGCUGAUGAGUUUCAUCACCAGCCUCCUCUUUCAAACAAGAAGACGACAGCCAACCACCAUCAGUCAGAAUCAGGAUGGACACAGAGCGUGACUGAGCUCGCGGAGAAGGGAAACCGAGCGGGCGCUUCAAAACUCCUCCUGGAUCUGGCGAUGGAGAAGGGCUGCGGUGCCUGGAGGGUGAUGUGGGAAUCCUUUGUGAAACUACGUCACCAUUUACCAAAGCUGAGCAAAAUAUUGAAUGAAAUACAGGAACGCGGUGACAGCCAGUUCGCCUACAUGGACGUUGAAUGGGGCUUAUCUGAAGUGCCCACUCAACUGAAAGGUAAGCGAUGGAACGGAAAACACAAAACCUUAAUUUCACUCUGAGAAUGCAUAUGGCUGUUUCUCUCUGAAUCCAGUCGUCGGCUUCCGUCGUUGGGUUUGAUUGACCGGUAGCGAUUUGGACUUUUCACAAUCAUUUGCCACCCGGAAGUUUGCAAGCUAUUGAGCAGACUCCUCUAAGACACAUUCAGUCAUUCUCCGCAGUGAAUGAUGCAGUUCGCAAGCUUGGUAAUUCUAUGUUUGGCAGCACCAACAAGGAGUCCCGAGAAUUGUCCGAUCUUACAAAACAUGAAGGCAAAGGGAUCUAUUUGGAUCUACGAAUCACAACCCAGGAAGUUUCACUUCAGGAAGUCCUCCAAGAGCAGGAGGCUGAUAUCCAGGGAUUUCUCAGCAAUGCAGUGACCAUUACAACGAUUGCGUGUCAGGUCCUCAGAGUACAGAAGGCCGUGGAGAUGUUAUGGAGGCUUAAGGCCAAUACUGGCUCAGACUGGCUGGGGAAAGAAUAAUUAUUCUGUAUGGUUCGGGCUUGACACUGAGAGAUUCAAUCUAAAGAAAAUGACAGUGGAGCUGGAACAGUAUGAGGAAAAUAAAAAUAACUAAAUGAUUUAGAAUCAGAGCUAGAGGCUGAGGGUGAAGGAGUAAGGAAUCUCGGAGAGAAGCCAUUUUUUUCACUGCUCAGGGAAAGGAGGCUGGACUGCGCAGGCACGUGACAUCAGCCAGUAGAGCACCAAAAGCUUUAAAAAGGCGACCACCAUAUCCAGCGGACAGCGGAGUGAGAGGGAGCAGAAUGGGACGGCUUUGGCUCAACAGACUUCGGCACGAACAGGCAGAGGCGAGGGCAGGUUCUGGUAAGUUUUGUUUUGUUCAUUCAGAGUAGAGAGAAUGCCAGGCAGGAUGUUGGAAUGCUCCUGUUGCAGGAUGUGGGAAGUCAGGCCUGCAAGAAGUGCACCCAGCUGCAGCUCCUAAUAAACCAUGUUAAGGAACUAGAGCAGGAGCUGGAUGACCUCUGGAUCAUUCAGAAGAAUGAAGAGUUUACAGAUAGUAGUUUCAGGGAGGCAGCUACACUAAAGGAGCAGCACACAGGCAAUUGGGUUACCGUCAGGUGAGGGAAGGGCAAAGGGCAGGCAGAGCAGGACUCCCCUGUGGCCAUUCCCUCCAACAACAAGUAUACCAAUUUGGAUACUUUUGGGGGGAAUGACAUACCUGGGACAAGCUGCGGCAGCCGGAUCUCUGGCACUGAGUCUGGUUCUGCAGUGCAGAAGGGAGGAGGGAAGAAGAGGAGAGCGGUAGUGAUAGGGCACUCUAUAGUUAGAGAUAGAGACAGGAGGUUGUGUGGUUGUGAUGGAGACUCCCGGAUGGUUUGUUGCCUCCUGGGUGCCAGGGUCAGGGAUGUCUCUGAUCACAUGCACAGCAUUCUGAAGUGGGAGGGUGAGCAGCCAGAUGUCAUGGUACACAUCGGUACCAAUGACGUAGGAAGAAAGAGCAAGGAGGUCAUGAAGAGUGAAUAUAGAGAGCUUGGUAGGAGGUUAAAAAGCAGGACCUCGAGUGUGGUAAUCUCAGGAUUGCUACCUGUGCCAUGAGCCAGUGAGGGUAAGAAUAGGAUGCUCUGGAGGAUGAACACGUGGCUGAGGAACUGGUGCAGGGGGCAGGGUUUCAGAUUUCAGGAUCAUUGGGACUUCUGGGGCAGGUGGGACCUGUACAAGAGAGACAGGUUACACCUGAACUACAGGGGGACCAAUAUCCUUGCAGGGAGGUUUGUUAGUGCUAUUGGAGAUGAUUUAAACUAGAUUUGCAGGGGGAUGGGAACCAGAGUGCCAGAGCAGAUAGUGGAGCAGAGGUGAAAAUAAACGAUGUUAAAGUUUCAUGCAAAGUCUCAAAUAGAAGGGUUGUGUGUGGUGGUAAUAAUCUUCUGAGGUGUGUCUAUUUCAAUGCGAGGAGUAUUGUGGGAAAGGCUGACGAGCUGAGGGCAUGGAUUGACACAUGGAAUUAUGACAUUAUAGCCAUUAGUGAAACUGGCAGGACUGGCAGCUCAAAGUUCCAGGGUUCCGAUGUUUCAGACAUGAUAGUGGCAGAGGGAUGAAGGGUGGGGGGUGUGGCUUUGCUAGUCAGAGAAAAUAUUACAGCAGUGCUCAGGCAGGACAGAUUAGAGGGCCUUCCCAAUUCCUGUCCGGGUUCCUGAUGGAGCUUUUGGAGAGAGGGGAUUCUGCCCGGUGUGUGGCGUACACAUUCCCACACCUCAUCAUCCAAGAAUUUGUAGCGGCACUCGCAGGAUUCCUGAUUUCACAUACCAGUGAUAAACAGAAAUUCCCCACUAAAGCUCGGAACACAACAGAUGGGCAAUUUGAGGUAUAUCUCCAUUUUGUUGCUGGUCUCUCCUCCCCAGUGACAGCUCGGGGCCUGGAGGAGUUUCUGGGUCCAUUUCCUCAUCAAACAACCUGCCGGGUGAUUGACUGGGUGAAGGAGGAGGUUAAAUGCCAGAGUGGAAACACAGGGAGUGGAGAUGAUACAAGGAGCCUCCUGAACACAUUACACUGCGUGUUUGAGUCUCAGAAUCGUGGACUGGCCAAGGCCACACUGGGAUCUGUGAAAACACUUUCAUUCCGUUGAUUGACACUGACCCCAAUUGACUGCGCAGUCCUGUCUCAUGUCAUUGGACUCUGUGAUACAAUAAAACACCUUGACCUGUGGAACUGCCGCACUCAGUAUGAAGGAAUCCAGUGGCUGGGACCCAGGCUGCACAAGUGCCAGGAGUUGAGACACAGGACAAAUAACCUGGGAGAUUCAAGUGUGAAACUGGUGUCUGCGGCUCCAAGGAACCCGGAGUGUAAAAUACAAACUCUGUGGCUGAACGAUGUCGGUCUCACAGAUUCUGGCGUUGAGGAUCUUGUCCCCGCUGUCAGUAUACUGACGGAGCUAGGCGUGACAGUAAACUUGCUCACAAACAGAUCUGUCCCCGCUCUCCAGCACCUCAUUCUGCCCCUCCCAAGUCUGCAGCAGAUCCGGCUAAGGGACAAUGAAUUCUUUUGGACCGGUGAGAAGGAACUUAAGUCUCUGCAGGAACCCAGACCUGGACUGGCAGUGCACCUGUGAACAUCUGAACGUGUGAAUAUCCCCACUCACAGGAUGGGUCGUUUUAACGAUUAUCGCCCCUUCCAUUCAACGGCCGCGCUCCAGGUUUAAUUCCGAACAGUUUUCAUGGGAUGCCGGCUGCAGCUGAGCACCCUCUAACGCCAGUUAUGGUUCGGCAGAUAUGUAAUUCCACCACGUAAUUACACAGACAGGAAGAGUCCGUGGUCUGGCUCAGUCUGGGACACCGGUGUCCUGAGGCGAGACUAUUCCGACAGAGAAUCUUCUGGCUCACUUUGCUGAGGACAGUGCGUUCUGCAGUCUGAUCGAUAUAGUGGUGUAAAAUUGCCAAAUUCUUUGGUAGUGACCCUGGAUCUGCAGCGAUACUGGACACAGCCCUGAAGUGUGAUUUUAUAAUCAUCGGUUUCCCUGAUGCAGAGUGAAGGUGAGAAACGGGACUGAUUAUUCAAAGUGUCUCCAGUUGUCGACAUUCAGUGAAUUGUGUGUGAUUGUGAGUGAAUCGGAAGUUACCA